CGAGAGCUGCCGGGACGGCUGCGAGAACUACUGCUCCGGCGGGGUCGUCUUCACCUACAACUCCGUCGACCGGGACGGCACGCGCACCUACGGCGGCUACUCCGACGCGGUGGUCGUCAGCCAGCGCUUCGUCGUGCGCUUCCCCUCCUCCGCCGGCGGCGGCGCCGGCGCCGCGCUGCCGCUGGACAGCGGCGCGCCGCUGCUGUGCGCCGGGGUGACGGUGUACGCGCCGAUGAGGCAGCAUGGGCUGUGCGAGGCCGGGAAGCACGUCGGCGUGGUGGGGCUCGGCGGGCUCGGCCACGUCGCCGUCAAGUUCGCCAGGGCGUUCGGGAUGAGGGUGACGGUG
Molecule: long non-coding RNA, 346 nt
Filed under: Oryza sativa (Asian cultivated rice)
Lineage: Eukaryota; Viridiplantae; Streptophyta; Magnoliopsida; Poales; Poaceae
Description: long non-coding RNA (OSAT_LNC000849)
Source: RNAcentral